GGUUAUGUAUUAAUCUCUUUUAUAUUUAAAAGGGAUUUACUUAUCAAAUGUUUCCAAGACAUUUGAUGGUGUCUCUUUAAUGUGUUCGAAUACUUUGAUGAGACCUUGAUUCCAUGGCUUGAGCUAUCUUCUCAUUACGUCGUAGUACUCUACUAACGACCUUAUGGUUGGGAUUCAAUCAUGGGUUCUAAAAGAACCCCUUUCAUUCAAAACACCUUUUGAAGCAGUUUCUAAAACUUAUAUAUCUACAUAUAUUUCGUUUGUAUACUUUAUACAAAUUUUGCUCCAAGCUUGAGACCAUUGUAGUACAAUACUAACAAUUCAUUCAUAUGAUUAGUACUUCAUCCAUCAUGAAGUUCCAUUUGUUAAAAUGACUUAUUUUUACUUUGGUUAACAACCUAAGUGAAUGCACGCUUCCAGAGUCCCACUCUGAUGUUUCUUUCUUAAAGGCAAUAAUACUCUAUCAGUUGCUUUGGUUCUGAUCCUGGGAUAUAGUAAUAUCAUAAAGUGAUAAACUCAGUGGUUUCUUCACCUUUGGAUAUCUACUUCACAAGUCAACAUAUGUGUCCCUUUUGUGAUUUUAUGACACAUUCAUUAUAAGGGUUAUGAAAGUGAUUUCCUAUCACAUAGGAAAAUGCUUUCUUAAAUCUUCAACAUUUGAGAUUUAAUUCCCAUAUAACAUUAUUGAGAUAGCCUUGCUAUAUCAGUAAGUCCAAUUUCAAGUCUAUACUUCAAAAGUGACCGUGUCAUGUUUUGUCAUUUUUCGAGUAACUUCUAUGUUUCAUCAAGUCUAUCAAAUAGCCUUUAUUCACAUCUUGUUGCUCAAAUUAUGACAUCACUCCCACUGGUCUUGUUGUAACUUAGCAUUCAUUCAAAAAUAACACUUAUAUUCUCUUGAUUUGAAUGCAUGUUGCUCCCACUAACUUGUCUUGGAUUUAUUGACAAUCAUUAGAAUCCAUUAGCUUAUAGAUGAUGUCUCAACAAUUUUGAGACUAUCAUCAAUGCUAGCUAACACAAGUUAUUUAAACGAACAUACACAAAAGAAUUUCUUCUAAAGUAACCUUUUUGAAAUGUGUGACUUGCUUUAUCAAGUCUAUUCAUUUAAAUUAUAUGGUGUCGUACACCAUACUUUAAGUUUUAGUCAUACUAAGACCUUUUAAUGUAGUCAUAUAAGAAUUAUCCAAGUCUUUAGUGAAGCAUGGCUCCUACUAAGGAUAUGGAAACUCAACCAUUCCUUCUAGGUGGUUGAUAUAAUUCUUUAUCAAAACUACAUAAGGCAAUAUAGUUACAUGAGAUGUUGUAUUUGGAUUGUCUUGUUGUUAAACCAUAUGUUGUGACUCAUUUUGAAACUAAUUCCCUUUUGUUUCAUCAACUUGUCCAUAUGCUUUGUUAUUAGCAUGUUCUCAUAAAAGAGAAUGAUGGACAACUCCCAACAUAUAACCAAUUUUGCUAGGUUGACGAAACCAACAUUCAAAGACUAUUCUUUAAAUGUUACAGAACAUAGAAUUUUAACGUUUAAAGAGCUUUAGACAACUAUAAACCAAUCACAUUCAAGUUUAUAUCCAUUUUCACACCUCCC
This 1579-nucleotide long non-coding RNA is filed under the name Malus domestica (apple). Its description in RNAcentral is "long non-coding RNA (MDOM_LNC019176)". The record is from RNAcentral. Lineage: Eukaryota; Viridiplantae; Streptophyta; Magnoliopsida; Rosales; Rosaceae.